RNAcentral lists this ribosomal RNA (497 nucleotides) under uncultured bacterium. RNAcentral's name for it is "partial 16S ribosomal RNA". It matches the Rfam family "Bacterial small subunit ribosomal RNA", at positions 28 to 507 of the family's 1533-position model. The record is from RNAcentral.
GAUGAACGCUGGCGGCGUGCCUAAUACAUGCAAGUCGAGCGAACAGACGAGGAUCUUGCUCCUCUAACGUUAGCGGCGGACGUGUGAGUAACACGUGGAUAACCUACCUAUAAGACUGGGAUAACUUCGGGAAACCGGUGCUAAUACCGGAUAAUAUAUUGAACCGCAUGGUUCAAUAGUGAAAGAGGGUUUGGCUGUACCUUAUAGAUGUAUCCGCGCCGCAUUAGCUAGUUGGUAGGGUAGCGGCUUGCCAAGGCCACGGUGGGUAGCCGACCUGAGAGCGGGAUGGGCCCCUCUGGAGCUGAGCGACGGCCCAGGCACCUACGGGCGGCAGCGGUAGCGACUGUUCCGCGCUGUGCGAAAGCCUGACGGAGCAACGCCGGCCGGGUGAUGCAGGGCUGCGGGCCGUAAAACGCUGUUAUUAUGGAAGAACGCAUGUGUCAGUGACUAUGCUCGUCUUGACGGUACCUACACAGAAAGCACCGGCUAACUACGUG